UAGCCGUAAACGAUACUCGCUAGGUGUCGGCCACGGUGCGACCGUUGUCGGUGCCGUAGGGAAGCCGUGAAGCGAGCCACCUGGGAAGUACGGCCGCAAGGCUGAAACUUAAAGGAAUUGGCGGGGGAGUACCACAACGGGUGGAGCCUGCGGUUUAAUUGGACUCAACGCCGGGAAGCUCACCGGAUAAGACAGCGGAAUGAUUGCCGGGCUGAAGACCCUGCAUGACCAGCUGAGAGGAGGUGCAUGGCGUAGACGUCU
Molecule: ribosomal RNA, 261 nt
Filed under: uncultured archaeon
Lineage: Archaea
Description: partial 16S ribosomal RNA
Rfam family: Archaeal small subunit ribosomal RNA
Source: RNAcentral